GCAGCNACGCCGCGUUGAGGGACGACGGCCUUCGGGUUGUAAACCUCUUUUAGUAGGGAAGAAGCGAAAGUGACGGUACCUCCAAAGGAAGCACCGGCUAACUCUGUGCCAGCAGCCGCGGUAAUACAGAGGGUGCGAGCGUUGUCCGGAAUCACUGGGCGUAAAGGGCGCGUAGGCGGCCUGGUAAGUAGGGGGUGAAAUCCUGCGGCUCAACCGCAGGGCUGCCUUCUAAACUGCCAGGCUGGAGCACGGUAGAGGCAGAUGGAAUUCCCGGUGUAGCGGUGGAAUGCGUAGAGAUCGGGAAGAACACCAGUGGCGAAGGCGGUCUGCUGGGCCGUUGCUGACGCUGAGGCGCGAUAGCGUGGGGAGCAAACAGGAUUAGAUACCCUGGUAGUCCACGCCGUAAACNAUGGGUACUAGGCGUCGGGGGGAGCGACCCUCCCGGUGCCGUCGCUAACGCAGUAAGUACCCCGCCUGGGGAGUACGGCCGCAAGGCUG
This 498-nucleotide ribosomal RNA is filed under the name uncultured bacterium. RNAcentral describes it as "bacterial SSU rRNA". It matches the Rfam family "Bacterial small subunit ribosomal RNA", at positions 388 to 896 of the family's 1533-position model. The record is from RNAcentral.